UGAAUUGACGGGGAGCACCACGAACGGGUGGAGCUUGCGGUUUAAUUGGAUUCAACGCCGGAAAUCUUACCGGGACCGACAGCAAUAUGAAGGCCAGGCUGAAGACUUUGCCGGAUUAGCUGAGAGGUGGUGCAUGGCCGUCGUCAGUUCGUACUGUGAAGCAUCCUGUUAAGUCAGGCAACGAGCGAGACCCACGCCCACAGUUGCCAGCGUACUCUCCGGAGUGACGGGUACACUGUGGGGACCGCCGCUGCUAAAGCGGAGGAAGGAAUGGGCAACGGUAGGUCAGCAUGCCCCGAAUUAUCCGGGCUACACGCGGGCUACAAUGGUCAGGACAAUGGGUAUCAACACCGAAAGGUGAAGGCAAUCUCCUAAACCUGUCCUUAGUUCGGAUUGUGGGCUGCAACUCGCCCACAUGAAGCUGGAAUCUGUAGUAAUCGCGUCUCAAAAUGGCGCGGUGAAUAUGUCCCUGCUCCUU
RNAcentral lists this ribosomal RNA (478 nucleotides) under uncultured Methanolinea sp. RNAcentral's name for it is "bacterial SSU rRNA". It matches the Rfam family "Archaeal small subunit ribosomal RNA", at positions 862 to 1338 of the family's 1478-position model. The record is from RNAcentral. Lineage: Archaea; Methanobacteriati; Methanobacteriota; Methanomicrobia; Methanomicrobiales; Methanoregulaceae.